UAUUGCACUCGUCCCGGCCUAG
RNAcentral lists this microRNA (22 nucleotides) under Patiria miniata (bat star). RNAcentral describes it as "Pmi-Mir-92-o24_3p (mature (guide))". The record is from RNAcentral. Lineage: Eukaryota; Metazoa; Echinodermata; Asteroidea; Valvatida; Asterinidae.